Long non-coding RNA from Hydra vulgaris (swiftwater hydra), 960 nucleotides. RefSeq lists it as uncharacterized. The record is from RefSeq and is a predicted model, not a curated record. NCBI's taxonomy places the organism in Eukaryota, Metazoa, Cnidaria, Hydrozoa, Anthoathecata, Hydridae.
UUAAAAAUUAAUAUACUGAAAAAAGUUCACCUACCAUUCUCAAUUAUGAGUUACAAAGAUGCACGUAUAGUUACAAUGACGAUCUAACAUUAACCUAACUGGAAGACUUUACUCAGUAGUAACAAUCAUCUAUUAGAAAAAAAUUAAGAAAGCGACUGCAUGUUAAGUUAAAAAAUACAAAAGUUUUUUUUUCACCUUCUAAAAAAAGAAUGUUAUAAAUACUGACAAACCUAAAUCUUGACUAGAGAACUAAAGAGAUGUAAGAUGCACGCAUAAAGUGAUUCAGAGUCUUCAGAUUCUAAACUUCAAGAAUCAGUUUUAGAACAAUUAGUGAAACAUCACAAUUGUUUGCACAUUAGAGAAGAAAGUCCUGGUAUUAAAGUGCAAAAAUUUGCCAAAUGUUCUCAAUCUGCAAUAUAUAUGGAACUAUGAUACCUAAAGUCUUAAAAAGUCUUUAUCUGCUGCGGAUAUCCUGGGGGAAAAGACUGAGUUUGAAAAUUCAUAAUUUUAUUAUGAUAAAAUAAAUGAUAUAACAAGGUUUGAUGAAAGUGAAAUAAUUUUAAGUAAUAAAGCAAAGUUUUACUUGUUAUUAUAUUCUUGUUAAACAAUUAUGUAUAAAGUUUUCCUAAAUAAAGUAAAAUGUGAUCAAACUAAAUAAUUAUCUAUGGUUCGUUAAGGUCUUUUUCAGCUCUGCUAAUAAUGUUUUGGAUGAAAUAAUGCCAAAAUGUAUUCUACCAUUGUUUAAGCAAGCUGGAACUUAUGGAAAUAGAUCAUUUAGACCAUUUUUAAAAAACUUUAUUAAGUAGAGUAAUUAUAGGAACAUUAGUUUCACAUACAGCAAAAUUCGAUUUAGUCGAUAAGUUGAAAGGCGAUUGUUUAAAGAGAAUAAUAGAAUAAAUAGCUUAAUAGAAUAGCAAAAAAAAAACUACUUUAUUAUGUUUUUGUAUGCCUAAAUUGUAA